Molecule: ribosomal RNA, 398 nt
Filed under: uncultured bacterium
Lineage: Bacteria
Description: bacterial SSU rRNA
Rfam family: Bacterial small subunit ribosomal RNA
Source: RNAcentral
AAUCAACGCUGGCGGCGUGCCUCAGACAUGCAAGUCGAACGAGAAAGUUCCCUUCGGGGGAUGAGUAAAGUGGCGCACGGGUGAGUAACACGUAGGUAAUCUACCUUCGGGUGGGAAUAACCCAGGGAAACUUGGGCUAACACCGCAUAAUGCAGCGGCACCACAUGGUGACAGUUGUUAAAGCGGGGGAUUUUAGGACCUCGCGCCUGGAGAGGAGCCUGCGGCGGAUUAGCUUGUUGGAAGGUAACGGCUUACCAAGGCGACGAUCCGUAACCGGCCUGAGAGGGCGGUCGGGUCACACUGACACUGACAUACGGGUCGAGACUCCUACGGGAGGCAGCAGUCGGGAAUUUUGGGCAAUGGGCGAAAGCCUGACCCAGCAACGCCGCGUGAAGGAU